Molecule: ribosomal RNA, 514 nt
Filed under: Bacillus sonorensis
Lineage: Bacteria; Bacillati; Bacillota; Bacilli; Caryophanales; Bacillaceae
Description: bacterial SSU rRNA
Rfam family: Bacterial small subunit ribosomal RNA
Source: RNAcentral
CGGGUGCUAUACAUGCAGUCGAGCGGACCGACGGGAGCUUGCUCCCUUAGGUCAGCGGCGGACGGGUGAGUAACACGUGGGUAACCUGCCUGUAAGACUGGGAUAACUCCGGGAAACCGGGGCUAAUACCGGAUGCUUGAUUGAACCGCAUGGUUCAAUCAUAAAAGGCGGCUUCGGCUGCCGUUUACAGAUGGACCCGCGGCGCAUUACCUAGUUGGUGAGGUAAUGGCUCACCAAGGCAACGAUCCUGAGCCAACCGGGAAGGUGGACGGCCGACGUGGGAACGAAAACCCGACCAUACUCCUAAUGGAAGCAGCAGUAAGGAAUCUUCCGCCAUGGAGGAAGGUCUGACGGAACAACGCCGCGUGAGUGAUGAAGGUUUUCGGAUCGUAAAGCUCUGUUGUUAGGGAAGAACAAGUACCGUUCGAAUAGGGCGGUACCUUGACAAUACCUAACCCUAAUCCACGGGUAACUAAGUGCCAGCCAGCCGCGGUAAAGGUAUGUGGCUGCGUUG